This 1371-nucleotide ribosomal RNA is filed under the name uncultured bacterium. Its description in RNAcentral is "bacterial SSU rRNA". It matches the Rfam family "Bacterial small subunit ribosomal RNA", at positions 28 to 1381 of the family's 1533-position model. The record is from RNAcentral.
GAUGAACGCUGGCGGCGUGCCUAAUACAUGCAAGUCGAGCGAACGGACGAGAAGCUUGCUUCUCUGAUGUUAGCGGCGGACGGGUGAGUAACACGUGGAUAACCUACCUAUAAGACUGGGAUAACUUCGGGAAACCGGAGCUAAUACCGGAUAAUAUUUUGAACCGCAUGGUUCAAAAGUGAAAGACGGUCUUGCUGUCACUUAUAGAUGGAUCCGCGCUGCAUUAGCUAGUUGGUAAGGUAACGGCUUACCAAGGCAACGAUGCAUAGCCGACCUGAGAGGGUGAUCGGCCACACUGGAACUGAGACACAGUCCAGACUCCUACGGGAGGCAGCAGUAGGGAAUCUUCCGCAAUGGGCGAAAGCCUGACGGAGCAACGCCGCGUGAGUGAUGAAGGUCUUCGGAUCGUAAAACUCUGUUAUUAGGGAAGAACAUAUGUGUAAGUAACUGUGCACAUCUUGACGGUACCUAAUCAGAAAGCCACGGCUAACUACGUGCCAGCAGCCGCGGUAAUACGUAGGUGGCAAGCGUUAUCCGGAAUUAUUGGGCGUAAAGCGCGCGUAGGCGGUUUUUUAGUCUGAUGUGAAAGCCCACGGCUCAACCGUGGAGGGUCAUUGGAAACUGGAAAACUUGAGUGCAGAAGAGGAAAGUGGAAUUCCAUGUGUAGCGGUGAAAUGCGCAGAGAUAUGGAGGAACACCAGUGGCGAAGGCGACUUUCUGGUCUGUAACUGACGCUGAUGUGCGAAAGCGUGGGGAUCAAACAGGAUUAGAUACCCUGGUAGUCCACGCCGUAAACGAUGAGUGCUAAGUGUUAGGGGGUUUCCGCCCCUUAGUGCUGCAGCUAACGCAUUAAGCACUCCGCCUGGGGAGUACGACCGCAAGGUUGAAACUCAAAGGAAUUGACGGGGACCCGCACAAGCGGUGGAGCAUGUGGUUUAAUUCGAAGCAACGCGAAGAACCUUACCAAAUCUUGACAUCCUUUGACAACUCUAGAGAUAGAGCCUUCCCCUUCGGGGGACAAAGUGACAGGUGGUGCAUGGUCGUCGUCAGCUCGUGUCGCGAGAUGUUGGGUUAAGUCCCGCAACGAGCGCAACCCUUAAGCUUAGUUGCCAUCAUUAAGUUGGGCACUCUAAGUUGACUGCCGGUGACAAACCGGAGGAAGGUGGGGAUGACGUCAAAUCAUCAUGCCCCUUAUGAUUUGGGCUACACACGUGCUACAAUGGACAAUACAAAGGGCAGCGAAACCGCGAGGUCAAGCAAAUCCCAUAAAGUUGUUCUCAGUUCGGAUUGUAGUCUGCAACUCGACUACAUGAAGCUGGAAUCGCUAGUAAUCGUAGAUCAGCAUGCUACGGUGAAUACGUUCCCGGGUCU